RNAcentral lists this ribosomal RNA (228 nucleotides) under uncultured bacterium. Its description in RNAcentral is "partial 16S ribosomal RNA". It matches the Rfam family "Bacterial small subunit ribosomal RNA", at positions 568 to 795 of the family's 1533-position model. The record is from RNAcentral.
UGCGUAGGCGGCCUAUUAAGUCAGUGGUGAAAGGUAUCAGCUUAACUUAUGACGUGCCAUUGAAACUGAUAGGCUUGAGUACAGACGAGGUAGGCGGAAUUUAUGGUGUAGCGGUGAAAUGCAUAGAUACCAUAAAGAACACCAAUUGCGAAGGCAGCUUACUAGACUGAGACUGACGCUGAGGCACAAAAGCGUGGGGAGCGAACAGGAUUAGAUACCCUGGUAGUC